RNAcentral lists this ribosomal RNA (261 nucleotides) under uncultured bacterium. RNAcentral describes it as "partial 16S ribosomal RNA". It matches the Rfam family "Bacterial small subunit ribosomal RNA", at positions 91 to 353 of the family's 1533-position model. The record is from RNAcentral.
ACGAGUGGCGGACGGGUGAGUAAUGUCCGGGAAACUGCCUGAUGGAGGGGGAUAACUACUGGAAACGGUAGCUAAUACCGCAUAACGUCGCAAGACCAAAGAGGGGGGCCUUCGGGCCUCUUGCCAUCGGAUGUGCCCAGAUGGGAUUAGCUUGUUGGUGGGGUAACGGCUCACCAAGGCGACGAUCCCUAGCUGGUCUGAGAGGAUGACCAGCCACACUGGAACUGAGACACGGUCCAGACUCCUACGGGAGGCAGCAUG